AGCUAGAGGAUAUCAUGGCUGCUUCUAUGACACAGAUACGACUAAAAGCUGGAAUUGCUAUUGUUUUAUGGUCCAUCUGAAAUGCACGAAAUGAGAGGGUGUUUCAAACUACAAAUCAUCCCCCUGCUCAGGUGGUUCAUAAAGCUUUUGCUCUAUUGUGUUGCACAGGCCUUCUGACCAAAUCAUGAUGGUUGAGGAACAGGCAUGGUACUGGGGAGCUGCUGGUCCAUCUAACAGGUUACCGCAAAUAUCAAAAUAGGUAUGUUGGGUUCCCCCUCCCAUCGGAUUCCUCAAGCUUAAUUUUUAUGCCUCUGUGCAGACUGAUGUGGGUGUUGCUUACAUAAUACAGGAUAGCUAGGGAAGACUGGUGCAAGCUGGUGGCAAGAAAUUGUUGCCCUCAUCAGUCCCCUUUGCUGAGAUGGCUGCGGUUUGGUUGGGAAUGAGAGCAGCUUUACUUGAUCUUAAUGCUGCUCAUCUUCAGGUGGAGGGGGACUCUUGCACUGUUACUAAUUGGUUGGCUAACAAUUUCUCUAAAAAUGUUAAUUCUCACCCUAUGAUGUGUGAUCUAAGGGAAUGGAAAAACAAAUUGCAGGUUGUCACUGUUACUCAUGUUUACAGAGAAAGCAAUUUUGCUGCCGAUUUUUUGGCUAAAAAAGCUAGGGAAAGAAAUUUCAUCAUUUCUGCCCAGCAGCGUGUUUGGCCGGAGUUAGCUAAUAUCUUGGCUGCUGAUGCUUUUGGUAUUGUUUUUGAACGGUGAUGAGGCCAGGAAUGUUAAUGAGUUCUCUUAUAUAUAAAAAUGUUCUAGGGUUUCUUUUGACCUGAUUCUUCCCUUGCAUUAUGAAUAUAGAAUUUGGAGUGCUUGUAGGAGGAAUUGGGGUUUUAGAAUCCACUCUAGCUCUGAGUUCUAAAUUCUUACCGUUGCUGGGACAUAUUCAUUACAUCUUCUCCACUAGCAGAACUAUAUUACUAUGACCUCUAACAAUGUUCUUUGUGUUAUAUUUCAUAUGUUCAGAAUCUUACUUAUAUUGGCUGGGGGUUUCAGCCGGUGGUUUGAUCCACAAGGGAGUUUAAUCUACUAAUUGCUGGUUCCUGGGUGUUAUCUCCUUAUGGUGAUUUUGACCAGAUUGUAUUCCAAGUGUUUAUAUUUUUAUAACCCUGUUUAUCUCAACUUGUUGAAUAUUUACAGGAUUUGUCCUGUACACAUACUUUGCAGCUUUGAUCUUCUUAUUAUACUCACACUGCUUACAUGGUCAUUUACAUCAAGGCCCUUAAUAUCUUUGUUCAUCUUCAUUAUCAGAUGCACAUCUGGACAGCAUGGGAAAAUAAAUUGCUAUUGUAUUCUUACACAAUCACAGAAACUCAACAGCCUCAACUUGAUACAAGCACAUACUUUUGUUGAGUUUUCCUAUUAUUCUUCUAUCAUCAGGUUUUCUAUGGCUGAUUAUAGAUCAGAUGGGAUCAUUUCAAGCAACAAGGUACUACUGGUUGUCAUCCUUUACUGCCUGAAACAGCAGGUGCAGAACACCUCGGCUUGUUUUGGCUUUAAAUCUGGCGGAUGUGUUUUUUGGGUGGUUCUGUUUUGUGUUUGUUAUGUAAUAUUUUGGUUUUCUUCAAAUACUU
Molecule: long non-coding RNA, 1620 nt
Filed under: Elaeis guineensis (African oil palm)
Lineage: Eukaryota; Viridiplantae; Streptophyta; Magnoliopsida; Arecales; Arecaceae
Description: long non-coding RNA (EGUI_LNC050121)
Source: RNAcentral